RNAcentral lists this ribosomal RNA (157 nucleotides) under uncultured bacterium. Its description in RNAcentral is "partial 16S ribosomal RNA". It matches the Rfam family "Bacterial small subunit ribosomal RNA", at positions 355 to 504 of the family's 1533-position model. The record is from RNAcentral.
CGGGGAAUAUUGGACAAUGGGCGAAAGCCUGAUCCAGCCAUGCCGCGUGAGUGAUGAAGGCCUUAGGGUUGUAAAGCUCUUUUAGUGGGGAUAAAAAGCCCAGGGCUAAUAACCUUGGGUCUUGAUCUAACCUACAGAAAAAGCACCGGCUAACUCU